Molecule: ribosomal RNA, 441 nt
Filed under: uncultured bacterium
Lineage: Bacteria
Description: partial 16S ribosomal RNA
Rfam family: Bacterial small subunit ribosomal RNA
Source: RNAcentral
CCUACGGGAGGCAGCAGUGGGGGAUAUUGCACAAUGGGGGAAACCCUGAUGCAGCGACGCCGCGUGAGUGAAGAAGUAUUUCGGUAUGUAAAGCUCUAUCAGCAGGGAAGAAAAAAGACGGUACCUGACUAAGAAGCCCCGGCUAACUACGUGCCAGCAGCCGCGGUAAUACGGAGGGGGCAAGCGUUAUCCGGAUUUACUGGGUGUAAAGGGAGCGUAGACGGCAAUACAAGUCGGAAGUGAAAUACCCGGUCUCAACCUGGGAACUGCUUUGGAAACUGUAUGGAUAGAGUGCUGGAGAGGUAAGCGGAAUUCCUAGUGUAGCGGUGAAAUGCGUAGAUAGUAGGAGGAACACCAGUGGCGAAGGCGGCUUACUGGACAGUAACUGACGUUGAGGCUCGAAAGCGUGGGGAGCAAACAGGAUUAGAUACCCCAGUAGUC